This 2897-nucleotide long non-coding RNA is filed under the name Pongo abelii (Sumatran orangutan). Its description in RNAcentral is "lncRNA (ENSPPYG00000037838.1)". Lineage: Eukaryota; Metazoa; Chordata; Mammalia; Primates; Hominidae. The record is from RNAcentral.
UCAUUGUCCUUGUGGCCUCAUAUUUAUAGAGCUUCUUAACUGUUUUGUACCUCAGAUUGUUUUUAGAUAUCAUUGAAGAUUGAGAUGUACAAAUUAUGUUGAAUUUAACCUGUUUCUCUUGGAGAAAUUGCCUCUGAUAUCUUUCUAACUUAAUCUUAGUGUGUUCUAGGAACAGUUUUCCAUAAGAGGACAACUUCUCAAUGAUCAUGAUAGUUAUUUAGUAAGAAAUAAUGGUUGUUAAUCAAGUACAUGUUAUGUCUUGUCCUUCUUUGAUUUCUCUGACUCGGAUUCCUUAAUUUGCAGUGAUGUCUUAGAAAUGGAAAAAGUAUCCUCUGGGCUUUCAGACUUUCAGCAACAACAGCCAAUGGGAUACCUCUAAGUUCUAGUGUGUUCUAGUCUCUUGUAUGUCCUGAAAGGCAGCAGGAGCAUUUCUGGGGUCACACUGAUAUUUUGUUAAAGCAGAGUUUCCUGCAUGGUUUAUGGUGCUGCUCUAAUAUUUUCUCUUUAAAACUGUGUCAAUUUUUGGAGAAUGAAUUUUUCAACCUUUUCAUUGUGGAGGAUUUUUCCCACAAGGUAGUAAUGGGCAAUGGAUCAAAAUCCUAUCAUAAAUAAUUGAAUUUUCAAUGUCAUAGUGUGUGGAAAUACUACUCCCUUUCCUUCACGUCUGUCUUAGAUGUUCUGUCUUUGUCAUCAUCUGCUCCAGCACAUACUUUGGACUCCUCUUCCUCCCUCCCUCCUCAAUAGGUGUCCUCAGUGUUUUCUAACCAUUUAAAACUGAAUUUGACAAGUGGCUAAAAACUUAGUCUGAGACUUGUACUUAGUAUAUGGUUAAUUAUAGAAACAACAACUAUUUUAAACAGUUACUAAACAACAACUAUUUUAAACAGUUACUUUGUUGACUGCUCUUUAUGACUACACUUGUAUGCCAGGAGGCAGCAGCCUAUACACCAUUAGACUCUUUAUAAGCAACCAACGAACCAAUUGCAGUGGAUGCAGUUGUCACAGUAGUCUUGCCUGGGCCAGACUGGGCUGGGCUGUGGGGAGCAUUCCCCUUCAGGGGAGUUUCCACAGCUCAGCCCAGGCUCCAGUCUGGCUGGAGAGCAUCCAGCCCAUUCCUUGCCUGAGUGCCACCUUUUUCUGGGCAAGUAGCCAAGAAGUGACUUUAUAUGCAGUGAGUACUUCAGAUAAACUUACAGCUAUAGCUGCUGAAGAGUGGAGAAGGUUGACCACCAUUGAUUUAAUUCUCUAGUGUAAAAGCAAUUGAGAGCAGUGUGCGUGAGCCCACAGCCACCUGUGUUUCUGGGAGCUCUCGCAGUGGCGGAUUCUUAGGCACUUGGGCUGCACUUUGAAUGACACACUUGGCUUUAUUAGAUUCACUAGUUUUUUAAAAAUUGUUGUUUGUUUCUUCUCAUUAAAGGUUUAAUCAGACAGAUCAGACAGCAUAAUUUUGUAUUUAAUGACAGAAACGUUGGUACAUUUUUUCAUGAAUGAGCUUGCAUUCUGAAGCAAGAGCCUACAAAAGGCACUUGUUAUAAAUGAAAGUUCUGGCUCUAGAGGCCAGUACUCUGUGGAGUUUCAGAGCAGCCAGUGAUUGUUCCAGUCAGUGAUGCCUAGUUAUAUAGAGGAGGGGUACACUGUGCACUCUUCUAGGUGUAAGGGUAUGCAACUUAUGUACACAUACACACUUUAUAUAUAUGUAUGUAUGUAUGAAAACAUGAAAUUAGUUUGUCAAAAAUGUGUGUGUUUAGUAUUUUAGCUUAGUGCAACUAUUUCCACAUUAUUUAUUAAAUUGAUCUAAGACACUUUCUUGUUGACACCUUGAAUAUUAAUGUUCAAGGGUGCAAUGUGUAUUCCUUUAGAUUGUUAAAGCUUAAUUACUAUGAUUUGUAGUAAAUUAACUUUUAAAAUGUAUUUGAGCCCUUCUGUAGUGUCGUAGGGCUCUUACAGGGUGGGAAAGAUUUUAAUUUUCCAGUUGCUAAUUGAACAGUAUGGCCUCAUUAUAUAUUUUGAUUUAUAGGAGUUUGUGUCUGGGUCCCAGGAACAUCUACUGGGGAUGACUGUUAGGCAGCUUGUGAUGAUGUUUUUUAAAAAACCUAAGUAACUUGGGGAGCCAGAGCAUUUCAAACCCAUAUAGAUACCUAUCAUACCUGUAUAACCCCUAAUACAUGGAACAUAAAUUUCAUUUCAGCUUUAUGCAUUAAUGUAUUGAAGAGGCAGGCUUUUUUCCAGUAAUAAUACUGUACAUCUAAGGUUGCUAUUCAGUAAAAUUAAUAGAAGAGAUAAUUGAAUGCCAUGGAAUAUGUAGUGACAAGAGGCCAAAUUUUUCAUGUUUGUGAGCAUGUCUUUCAGAUACUCACUAAUGGAGAAAUUCAUUUUAGACCUCUAGACCCCAAAACCAAGUUAGCAAGUGACAAAAAGUAAAUUAUUAAUAGUUCGUAAAGUGGAUGCUGGUCUUACAAAGCUCCUAUUCACAUGAACCCUAUGGUUAAUUAGAAAGAACUUGCUGUCUCCAGAAAAGGGAAUGGAAAGAAUAACUAUGUAUCUUCUUUUCAUGUAAUUUGGUCACAGAAUAAGGUAUUCAAGUUAAGUCUAAUCCAAGUCUUAGAGAUCUUUAAGUAUCCUAAAAUAGCAGCCUAAGUAGUCAUCAUGUAAAGAAGUUGACUUUCAGGAAUGUCAGCAUUGACCUCUCCUUGCCGCUGUUACUCAGCUAAACAUAACUUGCCAUUCUUAAAAAUAAAAAAAGCUCCCACCCAGAAAUUCUAGUGAUACUCAGUUUUGACCUCUUACUGCUUCCAUGUGGGACUUCUUUUCAGCUUUUAACCAUUGGAAUUUUCUACCUGCUAUGUUCCUCUCUGGAAAAUAUCAAUUUGGAAAUGCUGCCUUUCAAAUCAAUGCCA